UGAAUAUUGUGUGGAUCUCGCCUA
Molecule: non-coding RNA, 24 nt
Filed under: Arabidopsis thaliana (thale cress)
Lineage: Eukaryota; Viridiplantae; Streptophyta; Magnoliopsida; Brassicales; Brassicaceae
Source: RNAcentral